RNAcentral lists this ribosomal RNA (157 nucleotides) under uncultured bacterium. Its description in RNAcentral is "partial 16S ribosomal RNA". It matches the Rfam family "Bacterial small subunit ribosomal RNA", at positions 355 to 509 of the family's 1533-position model. The record is from RNAcentral.
UGAGGAAUAUUGGUCAAUGGGCGAGAGCCUGAACCAGCCAAGUAGCGUGAAGGAUGACUGCCCUAUGGGUUAUAAACUUCUUUUAUAAAGGAAUAAAGUCGGGUAUGGAUACCCGUUUGCAUGUACUUUAUGAAUAAGGAUCGGCUAACUCCGUGCC